This 468-nucleotide ribosomal RNA is filed under the name uncultured bacterium. Its description in RNAcentral is "partial 16S ribosomal RNA". It matches the Rfam family "Bacterial small subunit ribosomal RNA", at positions 28 to 507 of the family's 1533-position model. The record is from RNAcentral.
GACGAACGCUGGCGGCGUGCUUAACACAUGCAAGUCGAACGGAAAGGCCCUGCUUUUGUGGGGUGCUCGAGUGGCGAACGGGUGAGUAACACGUGAGUAACCUGCCCUUGACUUUGGGAUAACUUCAGGAAACUGGGGGUAAUACCGGAUAGGAGCUCCUGCUGCAUGGUGGGGGUUGGAAAGUUUCGGCGGUUGGGGAUGGACUCGCGGCUUAUCAGCUUGUUGGUGGGGUAGUGGCUUACCAAGGCUUUGACGGGUAGCCGGCCUGAGAGGGUGACCGGCCACAUUGGGCCUGAGAUACGGCCCAGACUCCUACGGGAGGCAGCAGUGGGGAAUAUUGCACAAUGGGCCGAAGCCUUAUGCAGCAACGCCGCGUGCGGGAUGACGGCCUUCGGGUUGUAAACCGCUUUCGCCUGUGACGAAGCGUGAGUGACGGUAAUGGGUAAAGAAGCACCGGCUAACUACGUG